GGCAUUCUAAAGGGAAAUUAUGUAUUAAAAUUUUAUAAAGGACAAAUUCAAUGAAUUAUAAGCAAAACUGAGAGAAGUACAUGUUACACUAGUUAAGAGUUUAACUUUAGUUUCUAAUUUGAGUUUAGCCUAGAUAAUUAAUUUAUUGAUGUCGUACUGAUCCUUGUGUUUGUAUGAUUAUAGAGACCGUACUGGAGUAUUUGUGCCGCCUGAUAUUUGGGACUACACACCAAUCUCUCUGGCUGACCUACCUUUUUUUGCAAUUAAAUCUGUUUGGUCAAAAAAACCAUGCUGGCCGAAGAAACUGAGAUGCUUACUUAUGAGGGCAUAAACUAACUUGGAAAGUCCUGAAGAUGCAGUGCUGUCUAAUGCCGCUAUUUCUGUAUUACCCUUUCAACAAUUGGGGUGUUGCACAGAGUAUUGUGGUGAACAUCCAGCAAACAGAAGAAUUAAGAACUAUGUUGAAGCUGACAUUGUCUUGUUGUCAGCCAUAUUGCUACCCUUAGCUAUGUUAUGGUGUCUAAGAUUAUGGAACAAAGUUUAUGGUGUCUAAGAUUCUUUAUACUCCUUGAAAGACUUAUAAUAUUUUUCUGGACUAUGCUGGACUAUUGAACUAUUUUGUUAUUUUUAUUUUUGUAGAGUUAGCCGGA
Molecule: non-coding RNA, 650 nt
Organism: Pelobates cultripes (western spadefoot toad)
Lineage: Eukaryota; Metazoa; Chordata; Amphibia; Anura; Pelobatidae
Source: the annotation of a GenBank genome assembly